Molecule: ribosomal RNA, 253 nt
Filed under: uncultured bacterium
Lineage: Bacteria
Description: partial 16S ribosomal RNA
Rfam family: Bacterial small subunit ribosomal RNA
Source: RNAcentral
UACGUAGGGCGCAAGCGUUGUCCGGAAUUAUUGGGCGUAAAGAGCUCGUAGGCGGUUUGUUGCGUCUGUCGUGAAAGCCCACGGCUUAACCGUGGGUCUGCGGUGGAUACGGGCAGACUAGAGGCAGGUAGGGGAGAAUGGAAUUCCCGGUGUAGCGGUGAAAUGCGCAGAUAUCAGGAGGAACACCGGUGGCGAAGGCGGAUCUCUGGGCCGAUACUGACGCUGAGGAGCGAAAGCGUGGGGAGCGAACAGG